Non-coding RNA from Vigna umbellata (rice bean), 323 nucleotides. NCBI's taxonomy places the organism in Eukaryota, Viridiplantae, Streptophyta, Magnoliopsida, Fabales, Fabaceae. The record is from RefSeq and is a predicted model, not a curated record.
GCUUGGAAUCAUGGACGUUUGAAACAAUUGUGAUCUUGUCUGGUAUUCUUGCUAAUGGGAAAUUGGAAACAUCGGUUCUUUCUAUAUGUCUUAACACGUCUGGUAUAUUUUGGAUGGUACCAUUUGGAGUUAGUGCUGCUGGAAGUACAAGGAUCUCAAAUGAAUUAGGAGCUGGUAGACCAAAAGCUGCAUAUUUAGCAGUUAAAGUCACCAUGUUCAUGGCCCUUUUGGUGGGGCUUGUAGAAUUUUCUAUCCUUAUGUCGUUAUGGAAAGUUUGGGGGCGUGCUUUUACCAAUGUGCAUGAAGUUCUCACACAUGUGAUU